GCAGCGGCAGUGGCAACACACUCACAAUUCAACAAUAAACAGUUCCAUUGACGAGCGCUUUUAAAUGACAACAUGUCAAUGAACAAGGCACCUUUCUCUGAAAACCUCGACGAGCUAAUGAACAGUGCAACUGUGCCAUAUGUGUCCCUUCAGAGAAUGGAAUUCCUAGCCAAAUAUCUAAUCGGUGCCAAUUUGGGCUCCAGCAGCAGCCUCUGGGCUCCAGCAGCAGCCUCAGCCAUGGGGGACAGCUCUAGCAGCAACCUCAGCCGUGGGGGACAGGUUUAUGAAGCAAUCUGGGCUCUAGCAGCAGCCUAAGCCAUGGGGGACAGGUUUAUGAAGCACCCUGAACUUCUCAAUCUCACAGCAACAGUAGAUCAACAUGACCUCUAGCAGCAGCCUCAGCCAUGGGGGGGGGGGCAGGUUUAUGAAGCAGGGCUCCAGCAGCAGCCUCAGCUGUGGGGGACAGAUUUAUGAAGCACCCUGAACUUCUCAAUCUCACAGCAACAGUAGAUCAACAUGACCUCUAGCAGCAGCCUCAGCCAUGGGGGCAGGUUUAUGAAGCAGGGCUCCAGCAGCAGCCUCAGCUGUGGGGGACAGAUUUAUGAAGCACCCUGAACUUCUCAAUCUCACAGCAACAGUAAAUCAACCAAUCUGGGCUCCAGCAGCAGCCUCAGCCAUGGGGGACAGGUUUAUGAAGCACCCUGAACUUCUCAAUCUCACAGCAACAGUAGAUCAACAUGACCUCUAGCAGCAGCCUCAGCCGUGGGGGACAGGGGCUCUAGCAGCAGCCUCAGCUGUGGGGGACAGGGGCUCCAGCAGCAGCCUCAGCCGUGGGGGACAGCAAUCUGGGCUCUAGCAGCAGCCUCAGCCGUGGGGGACAGGUUUAUGAAGCACCCUGAACUUCUCAAUCUCACAGCAACAGUAGAUCAACAUGACCUCUAGCAGCAGCCUCAGCCAUGGGGGACAGGGGCUCUAGCAGCAGCCUCAGCCAUGGGGGACAGGUUUAUGAAGCACCAUGAACUUCUCAAUCUCACAGCAACAGUAGAUCAACAUAACCUGAAAGCGGUUCCUGUUCAGUGUCUAACAGUAUUCUAAUGACCAAGCCACGCCAGCAAAGCAGUAAUAAUAGCAGUCAAGUCGAGGAUCACCCAAAACCACUUGGUGCCUAGCGAUAAUUUUUUCUGCUACCAACUUGACCUGGUUAUUGUACUCACGUGGGAGUCAGGUUUAAGGUCACAUUAGGUUUAAAGGCUUAAAUCAGCAUAUAUGGUCAUGGUAGUAAGAAAAUUUAAGAUAAUAAAGGGACUUGUUGACCAACUCGAUGACCAAGUUAUUUAAUAUUGUUCCAAAUGUAUCUUUAAAGGAAAUGACUGCAAUACAGGGCAUCAUAAGAAAAUCUACAUACUUUCCCCUUUAAAUGUGUAAAAUUAACAAUAAACAAAAUGACUACAAAACAGGCAUUUACAAGAACAUCUUUGAACAUUUUCCUUUAAGUAUUGCUCAAUCUUUCUCAGUGAACAAAAUGUAUGCAGAAAGAAAAACUUUGUCUCUAUAAAGAUUGCUUACUAUGUUUUUACUGCAAACUGAUUUAUUACAGAACAGGAAUGUAUCUUUUAACAUUAUCGUUGAAAUUUCUCAACCAUUUGCAGUUAACAACAUGACUGCACAAUAUGGCAUCAAUGGCAAAGAAGAAGUGAUCAGAGGGGGUUAUAACGUGAAAGUCAAGAAGGCGACGUCCAUUAUGAGACUGAAAACCCUGAUUGCAAAAUGCAGAGUCUGCUCCGGAAGCAUUUGCAGACACAGAACAUGAACGGCUGCAGUCAUUGUCUUCAUAUUAUAUCAUCUCUAUGGUGCAGGACCCUCAGUCUGUGUACACAGGGAACCUUCGACGCCAAUGACGAAAUCAAACCAUCCAAUCAGAAACACAUCCCGUUGCAGCAGUUAUUACCAUAUUGACCCCAGUCAAAAAAAGAAGCUCAGAGAUAAAUACUGUUUAUGGUGUUCUAGUCUUUACAUACCUUGUGGUAUGUUGAGCACGUACUCUGACAGGUUUCAUCUUAUAAUUAUUUGACUGGUGGAAAAUAAAUGACCUUGUUCAAGUCGAAAUGUCAGAAUAACAAUUAAUAAUUCAAAUGCCAAAAAGUCAUAUCAACAGCCACAUUUGUUAUGUGACCAGCAAAGUUGAAUUCAAAGAGACACAAUAGUUUUCUUUAUAUUUUGUUGUGACCAACCAAGUUGUAUUUAAUGAAAAACAAUAGUUUAUGUUUUAUGGGAAUUAUGAUGCUGUCAGUCAUGUUAUGUUGGACGUUUUAGUUAAAUAUAGUAUGUUACAAAAUGUAUUAUUUGAAGCACACAUAUUGCAGGUAUAUCCAAUGUCUGUGUUUGUAUUAUGAACCUUUCACUUCAGAUUUUGAUCCUGAUAUGGUAAAUUUAAGGGAAAUACACUUAAACACCGUUAUUUCGAACACCGAUAAUCCAAAGUCACCGUUAUUUCAAGGUAUUGUUUGGGUCCUGAUUGUGGUUCUUCUUUGUUCAAUGUAAAAUUUCAUUGUUAAUCCGAACUUCGUUUAACCGAAGAAAUCGUUAAUUCGAAGUGUUUAUGUCGGUCCCAACACUAUAUUUCGCACCUUAUUAUCAAUCUUUAAUCCGAAGUCAAAACUGCAAAACACUGAGCGUAAUUUCACACCUAUUUGGUCUGCGUGUUGUGCGUCGAAGCUGAUAAUUACACCUUUGUCGCCUGCGCGUAGCAUGUUAAUUUUAUAAUGUCGUCAAAAGCCGACGACGAGGCCGACAACACAUUUAUGAACAUGAUAUUGAAUCAACGUGUGACCACAUGCAGCAACGAUGUAAGGCAGUUCUGCGAGCAAAACACGGACGGAAGCCAGUUCUUCAAUUUCCUUGACACAAUGGAGAAAUAUGUUACACGCGUCCAGUUUAGUGCUGCUUACACCAGUGUUCAGAAAGACAUCGCGUCUUAUUUUUUAAAAAGUUUAUUCAUUUCCGAAAAUGUAUUCAUAUGUAUUUACAUGUAUGAUGCGCUAUGCAUUAUAUUUUAUAUGUUCUGUAAUUAGAAAAAAAUAAAAAGAAGAAAAAGAAUCGUUUUAUUCCUCCUUUUGUUACAAGUAGAAAUCUAUUGCUAUCUGACUAUUUUACGUUUUUAAGUAAAACAAUUAUUAAAAGUACAGUAUGACCGAAACAUGCGAAUUCCACAAUGUUGUAUUUUUUUCAGAAUCAAAGAAGUCGUCUGUCAAAUGUUUAUUUCGAAUUUUCGUUAAUCCGAAGUUUUUUUAACUGUCCCGAUGACUUCGAAAUAACGAUGUUGAAGUGUACAAUCAUAACAAAGUUAUUUUAAGAUUGUCAAAGCUGUUUAAAUGUUUGUGGUAACUUGGACACGAUUGAAAAUAUAUUGGCGUAUUGUCCAUGUUUCAGUUUUCUGUUUUACCAGUAAUAUAGAUGUGCUCAUUAAAAUAAUUCUUCAAAGAGGUUGAGAGUUAUGAAACUUCAGCUUUUCAGUAUAUCAAUCUUUCUGAACACAAUACUUGUCAAUUUGCUCAUUCGGGUCGGUAUUUGAUCCAAAAUCUUGUUAAGUAGCAUACUAUUUCAAGGGAAUAUAAAUUAAUUCUGGGCAAAAAUGUUUAAUCUACUUAAAUUAAUUGAUUCUUUGUUUACCACCAGUACUUUGUUGAUUUCAAUUGCUAUGGUUUGCUAAAUAAUUAAAGCAUGACUGUUGUUUUAUUUGGAAAGCUUUUAAUAAAACUCAGAAUUAAAAACAAUAUUAAAAAAAAUAGAUGAGUUUUAUGAAAAAUGGCACAUUUUAUGUUUGUUAAUUUGUGUUUUAAGAUCAUAGACUUACAUGCUCAUAAGUGUUAACAUUCGAUUUUUGACGUUAACGUUUAUAAUGCUUUAUAUAUGCAUAUGUAGAUUUACACAACCAGAUUGUACCUUCUUAAAUCAGUGAGUACUUUAACCCAGAUUUCUUGAUAACUGUUGAUAGGUAUAUUUUGCCAUUUGCCAUUUAUACAUAGAGCAACUGCAAAGCGAUUGUAUUUUCGAUGUAAAUCAUUCAUUUAGUGUUGCUAUUGUUUAAGACAAACUCACUGUUUACAUUUAUUUGUACACACAAUUGUUAUAAAACAACAUUGCUUGUGUAAAUGCACAUAUAUGUAUAAAAACUGUUUAAUAAUGCAGCAUUAAAUAUUCUGAAGAGAAAAGGAUAUUUACGGCAAUAUAAACACCUUGUUAUAUGCUAUGCUUUUCAUCGAAUGAAUUUGAGCAACUAUUAAAAUGAAUUUAUUACAACGAGAGUACCUUGAGAUUAGAAAUGAGUCAAUUACAAAAUAAGGGAGAGUGAUGUCAUAUGUUUACAAUUGUCAGGCAUAGCAAUUGCCUCUAUGGGUAAUAUAACAGAGCAAUAUUAUUUGCUUAAACAAUACAAAUUAAGAUGUCUUUUUUUGUUAGAUAAUAAUUGUGUUUACAACUCGAUAUAACGAGUAAAUACAUACAGAAUUUCAAAUUAUUUCGCAAUAUAUACUCGGCAAUAAGUGAAAGUCUAAAAGGAUUUUGUGGAAUAAACAAUUUGCAAAUUAUUUGCUUGUUUCAUGAAGUAAUAGUUAAGGUAAAAUGUGGUACUUAUUGUUACACAAACACAAUGUGUAAUAACAAAAUGCAUCAGUAAUGACAUUUAUUAAAAUUCCUUAAAUUUACAUGACUACUCAGUGCUUUGAGUUUUGUAAUUGUGACGAUUAUAAGUGAAUAUUCUGCAAAAAAUACCUCUAUACGAAAUGUGUAUAUUUCAAUAAUAAUGGUAUACUUGUAUGCAAAGUACUUGAACAGUUUUGAUGUAUUGCUGAUAAAGAAUUGUGUAAUUGUGCUAGUCUUAUUCCAGUUUGUGUAACGUUGACCGUUCAACAUAAGCUGUCAGUGGAGUGAAUUCACUGGGGCCAGUUUCUGUAAAUCUUCCGAUUUAAAACUGCAGCAUACACGUAUGUCUUAAAUCCAGAUUUACAUAACAGUUUGGUUGUUUAUCUUGAAUUUGUAUUGAAUGCAUAAAACAUGUUUGUUCUGUUGUUGAACAACUGAAGAUAGCUUUAAAUGUGUACAUUGUGUUUCAUUUUUAGAUAUAUCAAAUUGAUACAUAGAAAACAAAAAACAAAAUGUGCAAUAAUUGGUAUGCAUGUUUAGCCCAAAAAAUGUUAUCAUACAAGCAUAUAAGUAUUGGACUAUAUGAUACUGUAAGAUGAAAUGUUUAAAUCACGUCUUGAUUUGUUCAUCUACUUUAAGUAAACAUUUUUCAUUAGUAGAUAUUGGUUGUAUAAACUCUAUUGAAACUGCCCCCAAUGAAUUUUAAUUGCUUUUGUAAAUAUAUUCAAUAUGUAACAUUAUUGAUAAUGGUAUGUUUAUAGUUAAAGUGUAAAUGUUUCUCUAAACUGUAACCGGGUGUCUGUUUAAUUUAUUGAGAUGUGUUUAUAUUGUCCGGCUUAUUAAAUUAAAUAUUGUGCAAAUUGUCGCAUUGUGGUUGUAGUGAUAAAAACAAAGCACUUUCCACUACUCAUGUGUGUUUUGGUUUACUAUUUUUAUAACCAGUGUU
Long non-coding RNA from Dreissena polymorpha, 5587 nucleotides. RefSeq lists it as uncharacterized. The record is from RefSeq and is a predicted model, not a curated record. The transcript is spliced from 6 exons. NCBI's taxonomy places the organism in Eukaryota, Metazoa, Mollusca, Bivalvia, Myida, Dreissenidae.